RNAcentral lists this ribosomal RNA (406 nucleotides) under uncultured bacterium. RNAcentral's name for it is "partial 16S ribosomal RNA". It matches the Rfam family "Bacterial small subunit ribosomal RNA", at positions 30 to 526 of the family's 1533-position model. The record is from RNAcentral.
AUUGAACGCUGGCGGCAGGCCUAACACAUGCAAGUAGAACGAGUGGCGGACGGGUGAGUAAUGUCUGGGAAACUGCCUGAUGGAGGGGGAUAACUACUGGAAACGGUAGCUAAUACCGCAUACCAUCAGAUGUGCCCAGAUGGGAUUAGCUAGUAGGUGGGGUAAAGGCUCACCUAGGCGACGAUCCCUACCUGGUCUGAGAGGAUGACCAGCCACAAUGGAACUGAGACACGGUCCAGACUCCGACGGGAGGUAGCAGUGGGGAAUAUUGAACAAUGGGCGCAAGCCUGAUGCAGCCAUGCCGCGUGUAUGAAGAAGGCCUUCGGGUUGUAAAGUACUUUCAGCGGGGAGGCGUUACCCGCAGAAGAAGCACCGGCUAACUCCGUGCCAGCAGCCGCGGUAAUUC